UGAUGCAUUGUUUAAGUCACAUGACUCUCGGCAACGGAUAUCUUGGCUCUCGCAUCGAUGAAGAACGUAGCAAAAUGCGAUACCUGGUGUGAAUUGCAGAAUCCCGUGAACCAUCGAGUUUUUGAACGCAAGUUGCGCCCGAGGCCUUUUGGUCGAGGGCACGUCUGCCUGGGCGUCACGU
Molecule: ribosomal RNA, 181 nt
Filed under: Eleusine coracana (finger millet)
Lineage: Eukaryota; Viridiplantae; Streptophyta; Magnoliopsida; Poales; Poaceae
Description: 5.8S ribosomal RNA
Rfam family: 5.8S ribosomal RNA (bases 23-178)
About the family: 5.8S ribosomal RNA (5.8S rRNA) is a component of the large subunit of the eukaryotic ribosome. It is transcribed by RNA polymerase I as part of the 45S precursor that also contains 18S and 28S rRNA.
Source: RNAcentral